RNAcentral lists this ribosomal RNA (734 nucleotides) under uncultured beta proteobacterium. Its description in RNAcentral is "bacterial SSU rRNA". It matches the Rfam family "Bacterial small subunit ribosomal RNA", at positions 21 to 752 of the family's 1533-position model. Lineage: Bacteria; Pseudomonadati; Pseudomonadota; Betaproteobacteria. The record is from RNAcentral.
GGCUCAGAUUGAACGCUGGCGGCAUGCCUUACACAUGCAAGUCGAACGGUAACAGGUCUUCGGAUGCUGACGAGUGGCGAACGGGUGAGUAAUACAUCGGAACGUGCCCGAGAGUGGGGGAUAACGAAGCGAAAGCUUUGCUAAUACCGCAUACGAUCUCAGGAUGAAAGCAGGGGACCGCAAGGCCUUGCGCUCACGGAGCGGCCGAUGGCAGAUUAGGUAGUUGGUGGGAUAAAAGCUUACCAAGCCGACGAUCUGUAGCUGGUCUGAGAGGACGACCAGCCACACUGGGACUGAGACACGGCCCAGACUCCUACGGGAGGCAGCAGUGGGGAAUUUUGGACAAUGGGCGCAAGCCUGAUCCAGCCAUGCCGCGUGCAGGAUGAAGGCCUUCGGGUUGUAAACUGCUUUUGUACGGAACGAAAAGACUCUGGUUAAUACCUGGGGUCCAUGACGGUACCGUAAGAAUAAGCACCGGCUAACUACGUGCCAGCAGCCGCGGUAAUACGUAGGGUGCGAGCGUUAAUCGGAAUUACUGGGCGUAAAGCGUGCGCAGGCGGUUAUGUAAGACAGAUGUGAAAUCCCCGGGCUCAACCUGGGAACUGCAUUUGUGACUGCGUAGCUAGAGUACGGCAGAGGGGGAUGGAAUUCCGCGUGUAGCAGUGAAAUGCGUAGAUAUGCGGAGGAACACCGAUGGCGAAGGCAAUCCCCUGGGCCUGUACUGACGCUCAUGC